Molecule: long non-coding RNA, 593 nt
Organism: Chelonia mydas (Green sea turtle)
Lineage: Eukaryota; Metazoa; Chordata; Testudines; Cheloniidae
Exons: 3
Source: RefSeq, a predicted model, not a curated record
GACCUUAGUUCGCCUACAGAAUCGGAGAACAUCCCACCUGGACAGGCUUAGCUCCUUGUACUGCUUUACGAACUAGUUGCAGUUCCCACUGAUUUCAUCCGGAGCCUCCAAUUAGUUUCAAUAGGAUCCUGAAAGGGCUUGUCUACACAUGGAGUUGUUCCCGAAUAAUUGUAGCUGAUUAACUUUCCAAGCGAGUUAAACUAAAAGCAAGAACAAGGCACUGUUAUUCCAGAAUAUAGCCUGUCCACACCACACGUGGAGUUAUCAGGAUCAGCUAAUCAGGAACAACUCCAACUCCAUAUCCCCUUAGGGAUUUUUCUGUAGAGAAGACACAAACCCGUGACAGACACUUCGUUCAUUUUCUGAAGACCUGCUGAAACAUCUCAAGAUUUACAGCACAAGUAGAAGGAAGCAUCCAGCACCUGGAAAUAUCGAAUGCAGCUCAUUUUAUGUUGUUUGGUUGAAGACAAGUCACAGAAGCGAAUUGGAACAGCUUGAAAGAAAACUCCCAACAGCCCUCAAGACAAGAAUGCAUGUUCCCCAAACUGAACAAGUCUUGCAGUAUUAAUUUACGACUAUUCUUUUAAACGUCA